This 253-nucleotide ribosomal RNA is filed under the name uncultured bacterium. RNAcentral's name for it is "partial 16S ribosomal RNA". It matches the Rfam family "Bacterial small subunit ribosomal RNA", at positions 524 to 776 of the family's 1533-position model. The record is from RNAcentral.
AACGUAGGUACCGAGCGUUAUCCGGAUUUACUGGGCGUAAAGCGCGUUCAGGCGGUUUGGCAAGUCGGGCAUGAAAUCUCUCGGCUCAACCGGGAGAGGUUGUCCGAUACUUCCAGACUUGAGGGCAGUAGAGGGUGGUGGAAUUCCGGGUGUAGUGGUGAAAUGCGUAGAUAUCCGGAGGAACACCAGUGGCGAAAGCAGGUACCUGGACCAUUACUGACACUCAGCUGCGAAAGCUAGGGGAGCAAACAGG